UACGUAUGGAGCGAGCGUUAUCCGGAUUCACUGGGCGUAAAGGGAGCGUAGGCGGUCCGUUAAGUCUGAUGUGAAAACCCGCAGCCCAACUGCGGGACUGCAUUGGAAACUGGCGGACUAGAGUGUCGGAGGGGCAAGCGGAAUUCCUGGUGUAGCGGUGAAAUGCAUAGAUAUCAGGAGGAACACCGGUGGCGAAGGCGGCUUGCUGGACGACUACUGACGCUGAGACUCGAAAGCGUGGGGAG
Molecule: ribosomal RNA, 245 nt
Filed under: uncultured Lachnospiraceae bacterium
Lineage: Bacteria; Bacillati; Bacillota; Clostridia; Lachnospirales; Lachnospiraceae
Description: partial 16S ribosomal RNA
Rfam family: Bacterial small subunit ribosomal RNA
Source: RNAcentral